UGGUGGAGCGAUUCGUCUGGUUAAUUCCGAUAACGAACGAGACUCUGGCCUAUUAAAUAGUUCGCCGAUUCCGAUCUGUCGGCGUUAACUUCUUAGAGGGACAAGUGGCUUUUAGCCACGCGAGAUUGAGCAAUAACA
This 138-nucleotide ribosomal RNA is filed under the name uncultured eukaryote. RNAcentral describes it as "partial 18S ribosomal RNA". It matches the Rfam family "Eukaryotic small subunit ribosomal RNA", at positions 1299 to 1458 of the family's 1831-position model. The record is from RNAcentral.